Molecule: long non-coding RNA, 507 nt
Organism: Phyllopteryx taeniolatus (common seadragon)
Lineage: Eukaryota; Metazoa; Chordata; Actinopteri; Syngnathiformes; Syngnathidae
Exons: 3
Source: RefSeq, a predicted model, not a curated record
AGGAUCUACACCCCGAUUUUGUUGAUGACUUUGGACAAGAGGCAAGGUACACCCUGGACUCGUCGCCAGCCAAUCACAGGUUGGCAAUUUUGAGUCUUCAAUAAACCUAACAUUUUUGUGGGACAAUGUGGGAGGAAGCUGCGGUACCCGAAGAAAACCCACGCAAGCACAAGACGUUGGAAACCUUACCUGCAGGAGACUCUCUGGCUUCCUCUACCCUCUGGAGCCACUGCAAGACAGACCCGGCCACGAUGGGUGUGUUGGGUCACGGCCAUGCUGGAGCCUAUCCCAGCUGACUCUGGGCGAGAGGCGGGGUACACCCUGAACUGGUCGCCAGCCAAUCGCAGGUCACAUAUAAAUAAACAACCAUUCACACUCACAUUCACACCUACGGGCAAUUUAGAGUCUUCAAACAAUCUACCAUGCAUGUUUUUGGGAUGUGGGAGGAAACCGGAGUACCUGGAGAAAACCCAUGCAGAAUUGGGGGGAACAUGCAAUCUCCACACU